AAAGAAUAUUCUUGGACCAUUCUAUAACAGAUUGCUUAGGAAUCAUCCUUAUCCCUCACCUGGUCUCAUUUAGUAGCUAUGAUACCUUUCAAAGUCUAUAUCCUCAAUCUCAAUUUAGCUUUAAAUUCCUCACCUGUUUUUUUGUUUUUUUUUUUAACUCUCUACUACACAUACCUAUUUGGAUAUCUUCCAGGUAUCACAAACUCAACAUAUCUAAAAUAGAAUUCACACCUUUCCUUUUCAGUGCCCUCUCCUUUUGUCCCCAAUCACACACAUGCACAAGGACAUCUGUUCCUGCAUUUGUAAGAAUAGUCUAGCCUUAUUCUGUAGCAACAACGAGCACCAGAAUCUCAAAAACAUGACAUAUAAAGUUUGUUUCUAGUUCUUAUAAAGGUCCUCUCUUGAUUGGGCAACAAUCCAAAGCAGCUGUCCUUCAGGAGGUGACUCAGUCUUCCCAGCUGCCUUGACUUCUGUGGCUUUCCAUCUCAACAUAAGGUCUCCCUCUCUCCUGCCAAAGAGGAAGCAAAAGACAAGAAAUUGGCACAGUGUCUCCUAGGGCUUCAUCUCAGGAGGAGCAUGCAUCAUUUCCAUUCACCCUUCAUCAGCCAGAGAUGUUUCUGUGGUUCCUCCCGACUGAAAAGUUGCCUCAGAUCUUCCAUUAGACUCCAAACUUCUAAAGAAUAUAUCUUCUGAAGAUCUUUGUCAACUGCAUUUUCAUGGGACCAUUCAACAUGUUCCUCCAUCUUCUGCAUGAUCUGGAAAUUGCAGCUGGCUGCAAUGGCUUGAUAAGACUCAGAUUCAUUCCAUUCAAAAAAGAUCCUAAUGUUGAGGUUCUCUAAAGUAGCUGCACACCAUCCAGCUUUUAUUGUUCUCGUGUCCUCCAUCCAAGCAUCUAGAUUUUGCCAAGUCCCAUCUUGACUCCAACACAAGCAGAAACCAGACCCUUGGACAGCCUUCUGAAGAGCUGGAAUGUCAGAUGUAAUGCAACUUUUCCCUUUUCUCCUGAAGGCCUCAGAAACCUUUAUAGAAAUUCCUGAAUAAAGUUCAUCUGAAAUCUUCUAUAAUUAGGUCCAUGUCCUAUGUGAUACCAAUCAAUCAUAGUUGGUCUCAUUGGACUAGGAAUAGGAAAAACACCUCCAUCCCUAAAUCCAGUAAGGGUACUAGCAGACUGAGACACUUCCAAGGUCAGAGGCCUGAGAUGACUGGAUAAUCAGCUGUCAUGCACUGGGUGCCGACUGGAAAAUGUUUGUCACGAAUACCUUCACUGAGGCUCUGUCUGGACCAGCUCUGACAGCAAAAGGAAAUUUUCUUCGUAGGAAAUAUCUCAAACUCUUUCCCCAGGGCAAUUCAACAAAGCAGAAGCUUAUCGGGAGUACAAAGCAUACUUUAUAGUUAAGUUCUGACUAUAGGCAUAAAUUGAAGUAGUUUAUGAACUAAAAGGAUACUUCAUCAGUUAAAGGUUUCCAUUUUUAUCUUUUAUUAAUUGUAGAGAUAAAGCACUCACUUAGGAAAUGAUCUGAUGUGAAAUAUUUUUAACAAGUCUAAAAAGAUGUCUUAUGUAACUAAAAUGACUUUGGGUUUCAGAGAUAUGGAAGCUUCGCCUCAUAUUCUGCUCCCUUAAACCCUCUAAAGUAUGUAGGAGUCUCAUAUAGCCGAUCAAUAGAAACUGAAAAUAUUUCUGAGCUUUUUUUUUUCCAGAAAGUCAAGUGCAUUUUCCAUCAACAAUGUUUUUUUAGUGUUUCAAUAUUACUCUAUAUCUAAGAUAGAGUGGAAAGCAUAGAUCACCAUCUCCAUAGCUUAUGUAUACAUGAUUACUAAUGGACACUCCCAAGUGGAUCCAGUCUGGAACCCCUCCCCUCCACUUUCCUGUAUGGAUUAGCUGGAGGGCUUGAGAUUUCACAGCUACACAGAGACCCAAGUCAGAUAGACCAUCAUAAAGCUAAGGGAUCCCCUCUUGGAGAAGUAUCAGAUCAGAACGCAGAAUGUAGUCCAAACCCAGGCUGCUUGACUGAAAGGGAUCUGGCAAUAAGAAAAAGUCUAAACAAGUUAAUGACCAAGAGGAGCUGAGGAGAUGGAAGAUUGAGUAAAAGGAACUGAAUUGAAAACAGGAACUGAAAGAGCAGCUGGUCAUUGAAUCUGUAUAUCCAACAUGUUACUGCCACUUUAGACAGGAUACCUGAAUGACUAACUCCAAAGUGGACCAAAAAAACAGAUUGGGGGUUUGGAUUGGGAUUGUUUUGUUUUGUUUUCAUCAUGAUAAUUCUAAUUUGCUCAAGUUUUAUGAUAUUUUCACUUUCUAUCCCAGAAGAAUGGGGGGAAGCUGUGAUAUAUUUUUAGCUAAAAUUUUUGGAUAUUAUUUUUUGAGAACUAAUGGCAUAACUUAUUUUACCCCUUCUGUAGGGUUCUAAAGAAAGAAACUUCUUAUUGAGGAAAAUCAAUAUGCUACUUCUUUGUAUAGCGAGAAGAUCUGAGAAAAAUAUUUAAAUGGUCUAAUUUACAUCUUGAUGGAAUGGACUUUAGGAGGGAUUAUCAAGUAAAGGAAUGUGACCCACAUUGAGGACACUCUAAAAAUGUAGCACCAAGAUGCAAAAUAUAGCAUGAAUGUUACAUGGAAGCUGGGAGUUUAUGUUCAAGGUUAACAAAUAUUUGUCUUUGGGGAUUCACAGAGAUCUUAGAGAGUACAUUGUAUUUCUCUUAGCAAGUAGGUCUAUACUUCAGUCAACCUGGAGGCAGCAUUCUCCAUAUAAUAAUUGUCUCCUAAUAAUUGUUGUGGUUUAGAUAUGAAGUCUUCUUCCAAAGCUCAUAUGAGACAAUGCAAGAAUUUUCAGAGGUAAAGUGAUUAUAUUAUGAGAGUUGUAAACUAACUAGGUGAUAACUAUAGGCUGGUAGGGUGUGGCUGGAGAGAUAGGUUAAUCUGGAUGUGCCUUUAGGGCAUAUAUUUUAUCAUUGGGGAUCAAAGCUUUCUCUCUGCUUUCUGAAUGCCUUAUCCUGAGCUGCUUUCCUACUCUACACACUUCCUCCCUGAUGUUCUGCCUCCACUUAGGCCCAGAGCUAUGGAGUUGACCAUCUUAUGCAAUGAGACCUCUAAGAUUGUGAGCCCAAAAUUAUCAUUUUCUCCUCUACAAUGUUCUUGUCAAGUCUUUUGGUCACAGUGUUGAAAAGCUGACUAAAAUAAUAAUAUUUUAAUAUGUGUGUUAAAAAAUUGAUAAACAAAUCAAACUAGGUUUUCUUGACAGUCCUAGGAAAUAACCCAAUGAAGCAGAAGUUUCCAAUAUCAGAGUGGCAAAGUCCAAGCAAGUAGAGAAUGAUGAAGUAUAGCUGUCACAACUGCAGCACAUAUAAACCCUAAAUCCUCCUCCUUCAUGAUGUGGUGUCAAGCCAGGCAGAGUUUUUUUUGUUUUGUUUUGUUUUAUAAAGAGAAAAUAAAACACAAAACUCUGUCCAUAGUUCAAGAAACAAGUCACUCAAAGCAGAUUUUGUUAGUUAAGGAAGAAUUGUUUGAGUAGUAUUGUUCCCAUCAAGACGGGCUUGGGAGAAGAGGAAUUUAGUUCCUAAAGGCGGCCUUCAUUUUACAUAGAGGCUUUGGUCAGGGAGAGAACGGUGCCAAAAUGUCGCCAUUUGUAUUUUUUGCUCAUAGGGCAAGUGGAAUCUUGAACCUUUAAACCUCCUCCUACCAAAUAUAUAUAUAUCUCCUUGAUGCUAUUGCAGCCCAAGAUUGUGGGCUCCUAAUCUCUCAUGAGCUCCAUUCCAUAGUACUCAGUGAUGCAACCAUACAGAAGUAGAUACUUUCCACGAGAGUGUUAUCUUUUUGAAACAUGGUAGAUAAAAAGGGAACUUUGAAGCAAUAAUGACCCCAAAUCAAUCCAAUCCUGACACAUCAUAAUACUGGGAUUUAAUCUCCCUUUGUAGUAUGACUGGGGCAAUAAUGUAAAAAUAUGUGAGUAGUGAUAGGAUUGGAAAUUCAAAAGUAUUUUAGUCAGUUUUUUCACUGCUGUGAUUAAAAGACUUGACAAGAACAAUUUUAAGGAGAAAAAAAUUAUGUGGGGGCUCACGGUUUCAGAGGUCUCAAUCCAUAGACAGCAGCUUCCAUGCCUUGAGGCUUGAGGUGAGGCAUAACAUCAUGGUGGAAGAGUGUGAUGGAAGGAAGUGGGCAUGAUAAUCAGAAAGGAGAGAGAGAGAGACUCCACUCACUUGAUACAAAAUAGAUACCCUAAAAGCAUGCCCAGGUAACCCACCUCCUCCAGCCACACCCUACCCACCUUCAAUUACCACUCAGUUAAUCCCAUCAGGGGAUUAUUCCAUUGAUUAGGUUAAGACUCUCAUAAUCAGAUCAUUUCUCUUCUAAAUUUCCUCUCAUUGUCUCAUACACAAAAUUUUGGGAACACCUCAUAUCCAAACCAUAACAAAGGCAAAUGUGUUUUAAUUUUCUUCCUCUUAGGAAAAUGUCAUUAGUUUAUGAAAAAGGAGAUCCUGGAAAAGGGAAAUUUCCAUCCUAAAUUACUAAUUUAAAAUAUGAUGAAUGACAAAAGCUUGAGUCAUUGAUGUAAUUCCCCAAAUUCUGUUGAACCUAAUAUACUUAUAACUGAGGACCAAUUUUACAUAAAUUCAGAGCAUGGCCUACCACAUAUUCCUCAAAAUCUACUUCUUUUCUAAUUUUUAAUGACUUAAGUUUUUACAUAAAUUUUAUUUAUUCAUCAGAAAAAAAGAAACUGUUACUGACUUUCACUUUUCCACAAUUUAUGCUUUUUACUAGCCCUACUAUAGAUUUAGAGAAAAAAGAAAAAGAAAGUCUCAACUGUCACCCAAAAGCAGAGUUAGCAAAAUUCCUACUCCUUUGAAUGAUUUAGCCCAGUUUACAUUUAAAAAUACUUCCUAAACUUUGUGAGGAAUAAUUUCCACUCCCACCCACAUGAUUAUGUGAACCUUUGCCUAAGUUUUUCUACAAAACAUGCCCUUGGCUAAAUAUUACAUAAGGAUUUCUUUCUUUCUUUUUUUUUCCUUUUAGUGAGUCUUCUACUGACUGCUUUUACCUUAGAGAUUCUGUUCAAUAUUUCUGAGUCACAAUAUGUAGACCCUUGGAAAUUUUUGUCUUUUUCUUUCUUUCUUUCUUUCAUUAUUUAUGAGGUGUCCUUUGCCUAUUGUAUAAUCUCAUUUUUAAAUUUACCUUCAGAGUUAGAAGAAAAAUAUGGGCUCAGGUGCUUAAGUGAUGCUGAGCAAUUUCAAAAAAUAAAAAUACAUUGAUAAACCGUUGUAUUAGGAAAUUAAAAUGUGUUCAUUAAGGUCUAAAAUAAAGAAAAAAUGCUUUCUAGACAAAUAAAUUGAGAAUACAUUCUAAAGCACUGAGAAAAUAUAACGUAUACUUUUACAACAUAUCAUAAGAAAACAUAGAAAAUCCCCAAAAUAUGAUAUACCUUUUAAACAAAUUCAGAAAUAUUUACUAAUUAGUAGUUGAUUAUUUGAAGGCCUCUGGGCUUCAUCGAAGCAAAACAAUGUUUUCUCCCUGCACACCAACUUAUUCUCUCACACAGUUGAUUUAAUUUUUAAUAGAUAAAGACUUCCAAUGUGGCAAUCUACAGCAGUCCACAUUAGAAAGAUUUUUACUCUCUUUCUUACUUGCAGAAUUUUCUUCUUGCCCAAUAGAUGAUAUUCUGAGAAUAUCCCCCUUCCUACUUAAGCUAUUAAUUAGCUUUUUUGUCCUGCACUUAAAAAAUAUAAAGAACAAUAUUCAAUAGAUUACCCAUUUCCUCAAAUUAAAGUUUAACAAUAAAAUAACAAGUCCCAUUGCACAUGAAUAAUAAAAUAUUUUUCCAAAUUAAAAAAAAAUAUUCCAAAGAGAAGGACAUAACAAUGCAAAGGUUAAUAGUUAAUUUUUAGAAUAAGUACCCCAAUUUUCUUUCCUCUAAGUUGAACUCUGAUGCACGCUCAUUCAACCUGUGUCUUCAAAUCCCUCAGUGGAAAUUAGCUCCAGUUGCCCAUUUUAGUAAGUGGCUAUAUUAUAGGACCCUUCUUCAAUCCCAUAGCUGUGUUCUUCUGGUGAUCUCUUCCCAAAUAACUGCUUAGUCAAAUUCUUGUCUUAGAGUAAGUUUCCUGGUGAAUCCAAAUAGAGACUUGGUCUCAAUAUUUGUAUAUUCCAUACUACAUUUUCCCAUCUCUUUCUUCCUCAAAAAUAAUCCGUUGUACUUUAACAUGCUCAGAACCCCAGAACAGCUCAUUCUCUUGUCCCAUAUUCUACCUAUAACCAAUACUUGUCCCUCCUUUCUUCAUGCUUUAAGACUCUGAUCUUUAACAAUAAAUUGAAAAAAUAAAAUAAAUUAGAACACAGUA
This is a long non-coding RNA of Marmota monax (woodchuck), 6324 nucleotides long. RefSeq lists it as uncharacterized. The record is from RefSeq and is a predicted model, not a curated record. Lineage: Eukaryota; Metazoa; Chordata; Mammalia; Rodentia; Sciuridae. The transcript has 6 exons.